CCGUUCGACGAUGAUGAUAUGGUCUCCUACAUCCUCGCCGGACUCGAGUUCGACUACAUGUCGUUCGUCUCGUCCAUAUGUGCUGCAAGGACUGAGCCCAUCAAGGUAGCUAAACUCUAAUCCCAACUGAUCGGUUUUGAAA
This 142-nucleotide small nucleolar RNA is filed under the name Triticum aestivum (bread wheat). RNAcentral's name for it is "Small nucleolar RNA Z247". It matches the Rfam family "Small nucleolar RNA Z247". From Rfam's summary of the family: Z247 is a member of the C/D class of snoRNA which contain the C (UGAUGA) and D (CUGA) box motifs. Most of the members of the box C/D family function in directing site-specific 2'-O-methylation of substrate RNAs. RNAcentral also lists the same sequence under 1 other name. The record is from Rfam by way of RNAcentral. Lineage: Eukaryota; Viridiplantae; Streptophyta; Magnoliopsida; Poales; Poaceae.